GCGACUUCGUCUCUGAGCCCCUUCCUCUCCGCACAAACGCGCGCCCGUGCACGCCGGCGUCCUCCUUCCUCUUUUUUCCAGACAGCUCGACAGCGGCCACAGCGCAGCGCACAGGCCAGGGGGUCGUGGGCAGCGAGGCAAGCUCGCUCACACACAGCUGGCGCCUCCCCUUAGCAGCACAUCCUUGCAGUCUUUCCAACUCUUAUCCGCUCGACGCAGCCGCUUAUGGCUUACCCUGGCUUCUUUCGCUUGACUGCUGCGGCCCGGGUGGCGCUCAUGGCGUUGUGUCUUGCUCUAGCACUCAUCUGCGUGGCCGCUGUUGCUGCGCCUACCUUCUCCGCAUCGUCCGCAGCCCAGCAGUAUAGGGACAGACGCGUCGCGCACUUGCGCGCUGCUUUGCUCGACAAGGCACCGUAUCAUGCAGAGGCGUUACCCGAUCCGCCACUGGAGUGGGGCGUUCACACGGCGUGCAAGAAGUUCGGCCGUGGCUGCCCGGACUCGUACGUUGAGUUUCUCGAGGAGCUCGUAGCCUCACUGAAGGGUGAGGUCGCUGAUGGAGACGGUCGCGACGUCGCAGACGCGGUCGCGGAGAAGAGGAAAGGGACGGAGCAUGCGACAUGCCAGGCUCAGACGGAGCUGGGCAAUAACGCGGCGACACGAGUCGCGUCUGUCGUCGAGGCCCCCGAGCGGUGCAUCAGCGGCGUGGACGACCGCGUUGCCGACGCUGCUGUCUCUCUUGCCGCACUCCUGCCGGGUGAUCUCCGACUUCCUCUGCAGUUGACGUGGCCGUACGAGGCGCGGAAGCGUCUUGAGAACCUGCUCCAUCUACUUGCCACUCGCGAGUCUGAGCUCCGCAGAGACGGUGUCGCGCCGGCGCCGUUACAGCGACUCUACCAUGUACCAUCUGCCGAGCACAUUCACUUGGUGGAGGACCUAGACGGCGCCGUAACGGCGCGGCUGCACACCGCUUGCGCUAUCGGCUCAGCGUCGUCGUCGGCGCCACUGCCAGCGGGGUGGACACUGCAAAAGUGGGAAGACAUGUACGGCUUGUGGUGUCGACAUGUCGAGCAACAGCAUCAAAAUCGACGAGAUGAUAGCUUGGGCGCAACUAGCGUGAUAGCAGCACCUCCAUCCAGCUUGGUGCCUCUUCCUCGCAAGGCAUGGCAUUGCACUGCACUCCACCACGCGACACUGUACCUGCAGCUGCUCGUGCGCGCAGAUCAGCUUCUCACCUGGGCUUGGGGCUGGACUUUUUACAUCGCAGUACCAAGUGCGUUUCUGGUGUGCGUUCUUCUCUGGCUCUGCGUGGGAGAUGCAUGGACAGAAGCGGCUGAGGCCUUCGUGGUGAAUGCGUCCGCGGUUACAGCUGAUGCCGCAGGGCAAGACGACGGCGUGGUGAAGGAGGCUAGUGCGAGUAGGGGCACGACACCUAGCGCAACACCGCACGAGUGUCGGCCGCCCUCGGCGACCACAGGAUCUCCCUCGACUCUGACCGCGAGUUCUGCCGUGCAUGGGGCCGAGGCAGCGCCGUCGACGUCCCCCGUAACCUCUGUAGCCCUCGCAGAGGGGCGGCGUGACACCCCUCCGGCAGGGUACGGCGCGGUGCCCGCCUCGGAGCAUUGCCCCCACCAACACCAAGGGCAGCUCGAAGGGCAGCGGCAGCGUCGCGCUGCUCUGCUACGCCGGCGUUUUGCUGUAUCUGCUCUCCACCGCUCCCCCACACUCUUUUUCCUCAAGUUACGGCUGCUCCUGUGCCUCCUUGUGGCAGGCCAACUGCUGUGGAGCCUGUGGCGUGUCUUAGCUGCCAGCUAUGACGUGACCGCCUCAGCUGCUCCACUUGUGCAGUUCUUUCUCCCGUCCUGGCUUCUGGGGUGCCUGAGCGUGUAUCUCGUUGUGCCACUGCAGAUGAUGGUGCUGGGGACAGCGUUGAAGGGUGCCCUAAGCGCGCACGAAGAACUACUGUCUUUCCAAGCCAAGUGCGCAGCUGAGCAGCGUGCUCUACUGAACGCUGCUGGCGUGCUUCCAUUGGGUGGCUAAGAAGUAUGGCGCGGUGCAGAUGGAAGGAGAGGACGCCGAUGUUGCACCCAUAUUUUCACUUAGCCACGCGGGCCUACCUGGCUGUACGCACACACCCAUCCACGGUGCUCGAGACGACGCAGCUCCUCUCUCCGUGCUACAGAAG
This 2182-nucleotide unclassified non-coding RNA is filed under the name Leishmania donovani. RNAcentral's name for it is "gene:LdHU3.29.1780(CDS-product:hypothetical_prote in_conserved)". The record is from RNAcentral. Lineage: Eukaryota; Euglenozoa; Kinetoplastea; Trypanosomatida; Trypanosomatidae.